RNAcentral lists this ribosomal RNA (497 nucleotides) under uncultured bacterium. RNAcentral describes it as "partial 16S ribosomal RNA". It matches the Rfam family "Bacterial small subunit ribosomal RNA", at positions 28 to 507 of the family's 1533-position model. The record is from RNAcentral.
GAUGAACGCUGGCGGCGUGCCUAAUACAUGCAAGUCGAGCGAAAAGACGCGGCGCUUGCUUCUCGGACGUUAGACGCGGACGGGUGAGUAACACGUGGGCAACGUCCCUAUAAGACAGGACUAACUUCGGGAAACAGGAGCUAAUACCGGCUAAUAUAUAGAACCGCAUGGUGCAAUAGUGAGAGACGUUGGUGCUGCCACUUAUAGAUUGAUCCGCGUCGGAUUAGAUAGUUGGUGAGGUAACGGCUUACCAAGGCGACGAUGUGUAGCCGGUCUGAGAGGACGACCAGCCACACUGGGACUGAGACACGGUCCAGACUCCUACGGGAGGCAGCAGUAGGGAAUCUUCCGCAAUGGGCGAAAGCCUGACGGAGCAACGCCGCGUGAGUGAUGAAGGUCUUCGGGUCGUAAACUUCUUUUAUUCGGGAAGAACAAGUUCUUAAGUAACUACGCAGGUAUUGACGGUACCGAAUGAAAAAGCCACGGCUAACUACGUG